This 345-nucleotide unclassified non-coding RNA is filed under the name soil metagenome. RNAcentral describes it as "partial contains 5.8S ribosomal RNA, internal transcribed spacer 2, and large subunit ribosomal RNA". The stretch from base 1 to 119 matches the Rfam family "5.8S ribosomal RNA", at positions 35 to 154 of the family's 154-position model. The record is from RNAcentral.
GAUGAAGAACGCAGCGAAAUGCGAUACGUAAUGUGAAUUGCAAAUUCAGUGAAUCAUCGAGUCUUUGAACGCACAUUGCGCCCCCUGGUAUUCCGGGGGGCAUGCCUGUCCGAGCGUCAUUGCUGCCCUCAAGCACGGCUUGUGUGUUGGGCCCCGUCCUCCGAUCCCGGGGGACGGGCCCGAAAGGCCGCGGCGGCACCGCGUCCGGUCCUCGAGCGUAUGGGGCUUUGUCACCCGCUCUGUAGGCCCGGCCGGCGCUUGCCGAUCAACCCAAAUUUUUAUCCAGGUUGACCUCGGAUCAGGUAGGGAUACCCGCUGAACUUAAGCAUAUCAAUAAGCGGAGGA